This 465-nucleotide ribosomal RNA is filed under the name Vreelandella stevensii. Its description in RNAcentral is "partial 16S ribosomal RNA". It matches the Rfam family "Bacterial small subunit ribosomal RNA", at positions 338 to 795 of the family's 1533-position model. The record is from RNAcentral. Lineage: Bacteria; Pseudomonadati; Pseudomonadota; Gammaproteobacteria; Oceanospirillales; Halomonadaceae.
CCUACGGGUGGCUGCAGUGGGGAAUAUUGGACAAUGGGCGAAAGCCUGAUCCAGCCAUGCCGCGUGUGUGAAGAAGGCCUUCGGGUUGUAAAGCACUUUCAGUGGGGAAGAAAGCCUUGGGGCUAAUACCCUCGAGGAAGGACAUCACCCACAGAAGAAGCACCGGCUAACUCCGUGCCAGCAGCCGCGGUAAUACGGAGGGUGCGAGCGUUAAUCGGAAUUACUGGGCGUAAAGCGCGCGUAGGCGGUCUGAUAAGCCGGUUGUGAAAGCCCCGGGCUCAACCUGGGAACGGCAUCCGGAACUGACAGGCUAGAGUGCAGGAGAGGAAGGUAGAAUUCCCGGUGUAGCGGUGAAAUGCGUAGAGAUCGGGAGGAAUACCAGUGGCGAAGGCGGCCUUCUGGACUGACACUGACGCUGAGGUGCGAAAGCGUGGGUAGCAAACAGGAUUAGAUACCCGGGUAGUC